This 76-nucleotide transfer RNA is filed under the name Paracoccaceae bacterium. RNAcentral's name for it is "Rhodobacteraceae bacterium (activated sludge metagenome) tRNA-Ala". It matches the Rfam family "tRNA". From Rfam's summary of the family: Transfer RNA (tRNA) molecules are approximately 80 nucleotides in length. Their secondary structure includes four short double-helical elements and three loops (D, anti-codon, and T loops). Further hydrogen bonds mediate the characteristic L-shaped molecular structure. tRNAs have two regions of fundamental functional importance: the anti-codon, which is responsible for specific mRNA codon recognition, and the 3' end, to which the tRNAs corresponding amino acid is attached (by aminoacyl-tRNA synthetases). tRNAs cope with the degeneracy of the genetic code in two manners: having more than one tRNA (with a specific anti-codon) for a particular amino acid; and 'wobble' base-pairing, i.e. permitting non-standard base-pairing at the 3rd anti-codon position. Lineage: Bacteria; Pseudomonadati; Pseudomonadota; Alphaproteobacteria; Rhodobacterales; Paracoccaceae. The record is from RNAcentral.
GGGGCCAUAGCUCAGUUGGGCGAGCGCUUGAAUGGCAUUCAAGAGGUCAGGGGUUCGACUCCCCUUGGCUCCACCA